AUUGAACGCUAGCGGGAUGCUUUACACAUACAAGUCGAACGGCAGCGCGGACUUCGGUCUGGCGGCGAGUGGCGAACGGGUGAGUAAUGUAUCGGAACGUGCCCAGUAGCGGGGGAUAACUACGCGAAGGCGUAGCUAAUACCGCAUACGCCCUACGGGGGAAAGCAGGGGAUCGUAGGACCUUGCACUAUUGGAGCGGCCGAUAUCGGAUUAGCUAGUUGGUGAGGUAACGGCUCACCAAGGCGACGAUCCGUAGCUGGUUUGAGAGGACGACCAGCCACACUGGGACUGAGACACGGCCCAGACUCCUACGGGAGGCAGCAGUGGGGAAUUUUGGACAAUGGGGGCAACCCUGAUCCAGCCAUCCCGCGUGUGCGAUGAAGGCCUUCGGGUUGUAAAGCACUUUUGGCAGGAAAGAAACGUCGCGGGCUAAUACCCCGUGGAACUGACGGUACCUGCAGAAUAAGCACCGGCUAACUACGUG
This 484-nucleotide ribosomal RNA is filed under the name uncultured bacterium. Its description in RNAcentral is "partial 16S ribosomal RNA". It matches the Rfam family "Bacterial small subunit ribosomal RNA", at positions 30 to 507 of the family's 1533-position model. The record is from RNAcentral.